GGGGUUGUGGCUCAGUGGCAGAGCACUUGCCUUGCACAUGAGGCACUGGGUUCGAUCCUCAGCACCUUG
This 69-nucleotide transfer RNA is filed under the name Marmota monax (woodchuck). RNAcentral describes it as "tRNA.Gln". The record is from RNAcentral. Lineage: Eukaryota; Metazoa; Chordata; Mammalia; Rodentia; Sciuridae.